Long non-coding RNA from Athene cunicularia (burrowing owl), 176 nucleotides. RefSeq lists it as uncharacterized. The record is from RefSeq and is a predicted model, not a curated record. The transcript has 3 exons. Lineage: Eukaryota; Metazoa; Chordata; Aves; Strigiformes; Strigidae.
UGCCCCAACACAAAUGGCUUUUACAAAAUCACAGAAUCAUCUAGGUUGGAAAGGAUAUUGAAGAUCAUCUACUCAAACCGUUAACCUAUCACUGACAGUUCCCAACUACACCAGAUCCCUCAGCACUGUGUCGACCCAACUCUUAAGCACCUCCAAGCAUGGGGACUCCACCACCU